AACACUUUUCCGAUUGUAUGAACGAAAUCCCCACAACAUAAGAGAAACACUUAUACACUUUAAUGAACGGUAAAAGGAAUACUUACAAUUCGUUUUGAAAUUUGUUAUUUCAUGGUUUAUGCUCAUCUAUACAAAGAAUCUUCAAUGGUAUGCAUUACAAUUGUAUAAGAAAUGAAAUACGGCAAAAAAAAUUGAUGUUUUGAAACCCCA
Molecule: long non-coding RNA, 210 nt
Filed under: Brassica napus (rape)
Lineage: Eukaryota; Viridiplantae; Streptophyta; Magnoliopsida; Brassicales; Brassicaceae
Description: long non-coding RNA (BNAP_LNC025029)
Source: RNAcentral